This 403-nucleotide ribosomal RNA is filed under the name Verrucomicrobiota bacterium. Its description in RNAcentral is "Verrucomicrobia bacterium partial 16S ribosomal RNA". It matches the Rfam family "Bacterial small subunit ribosomal RNA", at positions 355 to 776 of the family's 1533-position model. The record is from RNAcentral. Lineage: Bacteria; Pseudomonadati; Verrucomicrobiota.
UGGGGAAUAUUGCACAAUGGGCGCAAGCCUGAUGCAGCAACGCCGCGUGAACGAUGAAGGUCUUCGGAUCGUAAAGUUCUGUUGCAGGGGAAGAUAAUGACGGUACCCUGUGAGGAAGCCCCGGCUAACUACGUGCCAGCAGCCGCGGUAAUACGUAGGGGGCUAGCGUUAUCCGGAUUUACUGGGCGUAAAGGGUGCGUAGGUGGUCCUUCAAGUCGGUGGUUAAAGGCUACGGCUCAACCGUAGUAAGCCGCCGAAACUGGAGGACGUGAGUGCAGGAGAGGAAAGUGGAAUUCCCAGUGUAGCGGUGAAAUGCGUAGAUAUUGGGAGGAACACCAGUAGCGAAGGCGGCUUUCUGGACUGCAACUGACACUGAGGCACGAAAGCGUGGGUAGCAAACAGG